This 647-nucleotide ribosomal RNA is filed under the name Acarospora atrata. RNAcentral describes it as "SSU rRNA". It matches the Rfam family "Bacterial small subunit ribosomal RNA", at positions 374 to 1112 of the family's 1533-position model. Lineage: Eukaryota; Fungi; Ascomycota; Lecanoromycetes; Acarosporales; Acarosporaceae. The record is from RNAcentral.
AGCGAAGCUAGUUGUAUUAUUAGUUAAUGCAAGAUCGACUACGUCGACUAAAGUUCUAGGUAGAAUAAUGAUGAUGACAAUUUUUUACCUAUAUGUCUUGACCAAGUCUCGUGCCAGCAGUCGCGGUAAUACGUGGAAGACUAGUGUUAUUCAUCUUUAUUAGGUUUAAAGGGUACCUAGACGGUAUUUCUAGCCCAAAAUAGGGUACGGAUUUACUAGAGUUUUAUGUGAGGAGGGGAGUACUCGUGGAGUAGAGAUGAAAUUUUGUUAUACUAUGAGGUAACUGGUGGCGGCGAAAGCAACCUUCUAUGUAUAAACUGACGUUGAGGGACGAAGGCUUGGGUAGCAAAUAGGAUUAGAUACCCUAGUAGUCCAAGCAGACAAUUCUGAAUGCCAUAGAUUAGAUUAUUUUUGGUCUAUAAAUGAAAGUGUAAGCAUUCCACCUUAGGAGUAAUGUGGCAACACAGGAACUGAAAUCAUUAGACCGUUUCUGAAACCAGUAGUGAAGUAUGUUAUUUAAUAGAUGGUCCACAAAAAACCUUACCACAACUUGAAUAAUUUAUAGCUCAUACAAGCGUUGCACGGCUGUCUUCAGUUAAUGUCGUGAGAUUAUGUUAACUCCAUUAAUUAACGUAAACCCUUACUUU